Molecule: non-coding RNA, 256 nt
Organism: Drosophila melanogaster (fruit fly)
Lineage: Eukaryota; Metazoa; Arthropoda; Insecta; Diptera; Drosophilidae
Source: Ensembl
GCUGAGUUGGCCCCUGAUCCCAAACCCACCCAAUCCGCAGCCAAUUGCUUUGCCAAGUCGGUAGAUAAUGAGCAGCGUAAUUGGCGCAUUUGGCAAGGACUCGAAGGACUAACAAAGGCGGAGGAGCAGCUGCUCUGCCAAUUGGCACACAAUGGAGCGGCACAUGCCACACUCUGGCGAAAAGAGAGAAAAACAAAAUCAAAUGCCCGAUGAAUAGAAAAUCGGGGGACUGCAGGGAAGAAGUUGACGCUGCGAG